UACGUAGGGGGCAAGCGUUAUCCGGAUUUACUGGGUGUAAAGGGAGCGUAGACGGCGAUGCAAGCCAGAUGUGAAAGCCCGGGGCUCAACCCCGGGACUGCAUUUGGAACUGUAUAGCUAGAGUGUCGGAGAGGCAGGCGGAAUUCCUAGUGUAGCGGUGAAAUGCGUAGAUAUUAGGAGGAACACCAGUGGCGAAGGCGGCCUGCUGGACGAUGACUGACGUUGAGGCUCGAGAGCGUGGGGAGCAAACAGG
This 253-nucleotide ribosomal RNA is filed under the name uncultured bacterium. RNAcentral describes it as "partial 16S ribosomal RNA". It matches the Rfam family "Bacterial small subunit ribosomal RNA", at positions 524 to 776 of the family's 1533-position model. The record is from RNAcentral.